Molecule: long non-coding RNA, 452 nt
Organism: Branchiostoma floridae (Florida lancelet)
Lineage: Eukaryota; Metazoa; Chordata; Leptocardii; Amphioxiformes; Branchiostomatidae
Exons: 3
Source: RefSeq, a predicted model, not a curated record
GAAUGGCAUAAAAGUAGCUCUUCGCUUGACAACCCUACAGACAUCUAAAGACAACCUCUACGUUCAAGUUCAACCUCUUCUCAACGACGAAUCGUCAACAUGAAGACCGCCGUUCUUAUCCUUGUGCUGGGUCUGGUUGUGGCUGAUGCCACCCUGAUCCCUUGGGAACGUGCUAUGGAGAAGUCCGCUGGUGGCAGGGCGACCGACCCAUGCUGGUUGAACCACCAGUGCACGAACUGCGCCAGCACUGGGAGUGUCGGAAGCACUGUCAUUUGCUGUAACAACUGUCGCCCGUCAGGUUUCGAACUCACCUUCGACAACUUCGGCAUCCACUGCGGCUGCACGCUCUAAAGAUAUCACCACCCUGGUGACGUCAGAAGAACUUCCGACAUCGACGUCACGGCAUUUUACAAACAGUAUUAUUAACGUCAAAUAAACCACUACAAUGUUUA